This is a long non-coding RNA of Myzus persicae (green peach aphid), 877 nucleotides long. RefSeq lists it as uncharacterized. Lineage: Eukaryota; Metazoa; Arthropoda; Insecta; Hemiptera; Aphididae. The transcript has 3 exons. The record is from RefSeq and is a predicted model, not a curated record.
GACCCCGUAGUCGACAAGUUUAUUCCAACGUUGCACAACAUGAACCGUCUGCGAUCGACAGAUAAUACGAUAUUCACUGAUAAUACGACGGUCCGGUGAUAACGACGAUAACAUCUCGUCUUCUGACUUCUUGACUUUUUUUAAAUUCUUCAUUCUACAAGUUACAUCCAUAAAUUAUAAUUUGUAUAAUCUGUACUUCAACUGAAUGCCACGAUUUGAGAUGAUAUACAAUUUAGAUAUUUAUUAAAUCGUCCUACAACGUGAAUUUAGGAAAAAAACAACAGGAAGCGAAAGAAAAUUUUGAAAACAGUAACCUCAGUGCAACCAGACCAGAAGUCAGAACUGAUAUUGUUCUUCUUUCAUUUGUCUAUAUUAUCUCGUGUUUUUUAUAACACAAUUCCAGUUUAAAAAAAUCGUUCUCUUAACCAUGUAGUUUGCUUGAGAAAUAUGAAUUGACGUACCUAUACGACGGAGUACGACGAGGUACCUACCUACUUAGUGAAACCAAAGACAAUAAUUUCAAGUGUAGCAACAGGCUCACUGUUACCUGUUCACAGUCAGACUGGACGAGGAAUUAGAUUUAAAACUCGAUCGAUGCAACCAAACACGUAUAUAUAACACAUUUCAAGGACUGACUAUAAUAUAUUUGAAUACCGUUUGUCGACCGUGUGUUUAGGUACUUAUAAUACCCAUUCGACGUUGGACAUAAACGGGUUGUGUAUUAAUUCGUCUCUGCCGGAUAGGUCACCAAAUGUGACGUAAUAUUGUUUCAAUAAUUUUUAAGCAAGAUUAAAAAUAUACUUAUACACUUAUACCUUUAAUCGUGUUUUUAAGUAACCACAGUGUAUUCAAUAUAAGAAUAAAAUAGGAUCAGAAU